UUCUAUGAUGAAACAUCACCUUUUAUUUUAUUUUUUCUGGUACCUCUUAUGUCAGGGUUAGAUCCUUGUGGUCGAGCCCGAUGAUCUAAAUGGACUUCUGAUA
This 103-nucleotide small nucleolar RNA is filed under the name Aspergillus ustus. RNAcentral's name for it is "A. fumigatus snoRNA Afu_264". It matches the Rfam family "A. fumigatus snoRNA Afu_264". The record is from Rfam by way of RNAcentral. Lineage: Eukaryota; Fungi; Ascomycota; Eurotiomycetes; Eurotiales; Aspergillaceae.